RNAcentral lists this long non-coding RNA (205 nucleotides) under Nicotiana benthamiana. RNAcentral describes it as "long non-coding RNA (NBEN_LNC000167)". Lineage: Eukaryota; Viridiplantae; Streptophyta; Magnoliopsida; Solanales; Solanaceae. The record is from RNAcentral.
UUAAGUUUCAGUGAAUAUUAAUUGUUUUAAAGUCCAUCAAUUCUUAUAAUAUAUUUAGAAUUCUCCUAUCAUGUAAACAACGAUAAAUAUUCAAGUGUUACAUAUCAAAAUAUGUAACACAUUAAGUUGAGAUUCAUAAAAGGGCUUAAGGAACUAAAGUUUAUAGCAUCUAAUAUUUUAGUUAUUCAAUUGAAGCACUAUGUUG